Molecule: ribosomal RNA, 484 nt
Filed under: Ixodes brunneus
Lineage: Eukaryota; Metazoa; Arthropoda; Arachnida; Ixodida; Ixodidae
Description: partial 16S ribosomal RNA
Source: RNAcentral
CAUGUAGGAAUUUAAAAGUUGAACAAACUUUUUUUUUAACUUCUUCAUUAAAAAAGAAUCCUAAUCCAACAUCGAGGUCGCAAACUAUUUUAUCUAUAAGAACUAUCCAAAAUUAUUACGCUGUUAUCCCUAGAGUAUUUUUUUCAUUAAAUCAUUAAAUAAUGGAUCAAAAUUAAUUUAUUAUUAAAAGAUAAUUAUUCUUUUCCUGUCGCCCCAACAAAAUUAAUAUAAAUACUAAUUAUUAAUUUCAUAUUAAUUUAAAAUUCAUAGGGUCUUCUUGUCCCUAAUUUUUAUUUUUGUUUCCUCACAAAAAAAUUAAAUUUAAUUUUUAAAAUAAAGAAAGUUAUUAAUUGUUAUACCAUUCUCUUAGCACUCAUUUAAAAUCUUAUUUCAAUACCUUCGUAUAGUCAAAAUACCACAGCAAUUUAAAAAUUUCAUUGAGCAGAUUUUACAUUUUAUUAAUUUCAAAAUGAAAUGUUUUUGU